UACAGAGGGUGCGAGCGUUAAUCGGAAUUACUGGGCGUAAAGCGCGCGUAGGCGGCUUUGCAAGUCGGGUGUGAAAUCCCCAGGCUUAACCUGGGAACUGCAUUCGAGACUGCAUUGCUAGAGUAUGGGAGAGGGAAGUGGAAUUCCUGGUGUAGCGGUGAAAUGCGCAGAUAUCGUAAGGAAGACCAGUGGCGAAGGCGGGUCUCUGGACAGUUCCUGACGCUGAGGCACGAAGGUCAGGGGAGCAAACGGG
RNAcentral lists this ribosomal RNA (253 nucleotides) under uncultured bacterium. RNAcentral describes it as "partial 16S ribosomal RNA". It matches the Rfam family "Bacterial small subunit ribosomal RNA", at positions 524 to 776 of the family's 1533-position model. The record is from RNAcentral.